GAGUCCACUUCAUCUAUGAAUGGUGAAAACUUGGCAAGCAACUCAGACAAUUCUGUGAAAGUGGAACCUUGUUGUUUGAUUUCUGAAACUCAUCCUAUUGAGGAAGAUGUCUCAAAUUCUUCCGUUGACAAAGUGGAGGUUGUGGCUUCUUUGAAUCAGAGCUCACUAGAUGCAAUAUCUGAGCUGGAAAUUGAGAAUGGUCAUGUGGGUUCUCCUGAUUCACAAUCUGAUAUUUGCUCCUUUCACUCGGAGAGCAGCAUAGAUGAAUUAAAUGAGCAGUCCUUGCAUACAGCAUGUGGUGAUGGCAAUGAAAUUGUAGCGACUGUUGAAAAAUCUGAGUCCAUGGAUCACAUUCUUUGAAUCAGGGCUCACUAGAUGCAAUAUCUGAGCUGGAAAUUGAGCAUGGUCAUGUGGGUUCUCCUGAUUCACAAUCUGAUAUUUGCUCCUUUCACUCGGAGAGCAGCGUAGAUGAAUUAAAUGAGCAGUCCUUGCAUA
This 495-nucleotide long non-coding RNA is filed under the name Nicotiana benthamiana. RNAcentral describes it as "long non-coding RNA (NBEN_LNC033720)". The record is from RNAcentral. Lineage: Eukaryota; Viridiplantae; Streptophyta; Magnoliopsida; Solanales; Solanaceae.